AUAAUAUAUUAUCAGAAUGCCUGCUACGUUGCAGCUGUGAGUAGGCUGCCGGGUCACAUCCCGCCUCGUGCAAGGACCUUCCCCAAGCGUCACGCGCAGAACGGAAGGAGGCUAAGGGAGUCCAACCACUCAUGCGAACAUUGCUAUACUCUUGAAUUGAAUCUAAGAGAUUACACGCGGGAGAUAAAUUCCCGCGUUCUGAUCGAUUGUGCUAAAAAUAGCCGGUCUGACCUCGCUCAUUGUUUAUAUCUCUUUGUUGCGAUUGUGUGUGUGAUUUAAUGUGUGUCUGUUGUUGUUGUUUUGUUUGUAUUGAUAUUUACAAUCAUGUUGGAGUUACUGCUUCAUAAAUCAAAACAAGAGAAAUAUCGGAUACUAACUGACGCCUGACGGCUUUGUCUGCACGAGAUGCUGAAAAAUAUGCAGGUCAUGUGAAGCACAGCACUCAUCCUUAAUUUUCGGAAUCGAAGACAUUUCCAUGAUGAUCACGUGGGCUUCUUUGACCUUUCCAUUUGGCUAACAAAAUUUACUUUCAAAACCGCAUUUCAAGUUAAUCUGAUUUAUCCCAUAAUUGGACAAUCAAAUUUAUUUUUUUUUUGUUCGGUAUUUUUCCCCAUUUGCCAUUGAUACAAAAAUGUGAAUGAAUAGCUGAAAAUGA
Molecule: long non-coding RNA, 655 nt
Organism: Biomphalaria glabrata
Lineage: Eukaryota; Metazoa; Mollusca; Gastropoda; Planorbidae
Exons: 2
Source: RefSeq, a predicted model, not a curated record